AGUAACCAGGAAAGAGAAAGUGAAGCAAAGUAUUUUAUUUUCUUUCCCAGUCCCCAGAGUGGAGCUCUCUCUUAUCAAAUCUUCUUUCCUUGGCUGUCAACUGCUGCUGCUUCUGCUCCAAGAAACUCCAAAGGCUAUUUGGAGUCAAUCUAUUUAAAACAAGACCAAACUUUUAUAAUAAUGCUAAAAGUGAUUUAUAUCAGAACCCUACCCAAUCUUGAUUUCCAAGAGAGUCAGAUUUUUAUAGGAAUAGAGGGACUCCAAGUGCCUGAUACAGUGAGAAUGAAAGAAACUUGGAAGAAGAUUGUCUUGCAAAAGACAUAUGGAAGAGAUCCUAGAAUAUCAUACAGAUGAUGGAGGAAUUUAUGGUAAGUCUUUGUGUCAUAACCACUGGAAAGAGAUAAAGGGUUACCAUAUUGUGGAAGAAAAGAGUGAGCAAAGAUUUUUGAAGAUGAUUUCAUUCUUCUAGGAGAAUAUCAAGAAUUUAAAAAAAAAAAAAUGCCAUGGAGAAGAGUCAAGAAAUUCAAACUGCUUUUUCCUACCUGCUGGAAAAAUUCCAGAGUAAAUGUGCUAAAAGUAAAACAUGCUUUUGUUGAAGUGUAUUCUAUAGGUUAUUUUUUUUCUAAAGAGUUACUACAUAGAAAUAGAUAAAGAAAAUGUGAUAUUUAUAUCUGCAAUGGAAUAUUACUCAGCCAUGAAAAAGAAGGAAAUCUUGCCAUCUGGAACGAUGGAUAGACCACGAAGGCAUUAUGCUAA
This 756-nucleotide long non-coding RNA is filed under the name Mustela putorius furo (domestic ferret). Its description in RNAcentral is "lncRNA (ENSMPUG00000025023.1)". Lineage: Eukaryota; Metazoa; Chordata; Mammalia; Carnivora; Mustelidae. The record is from RNAcentral.